This is a long non-coding RNA of Hypomesus transpacificus, 2006 nucleotides long. RefSeq lists it as uncharacterized. NCBI's taxonomy places the organism in Eukaryota, Metazoa, Chordata, Actinopteri, Osmeriformes, Osmeridae. The transcript has 3 exons. The record is from RefSeq and is a predicted model, not a curated record.
CCUUCUAUCCCUCUCUCUCUCCUCCCUCCUUCUAUCCCUCUCUCUCUCCUCCCUCUCUCUGUUUUCUCAGUCUAUGUCCUUAAAAGCAUAGCCAUCCUUCUCUCAUUGGUUGCUGUAAUGUAAACAUGGCCGUUGUCGGAGCACACUGAGGUGAGUACAAGCAGAACUCAACUAAAUCAUCCAGAUCAUCUCAACUGGAAACAGGUUGAUCAAACUGGAACAGAAACUACCUGUGCCUCGUCUGAAGGUAGAGAGAAUAUCAGGGGCAGUUCUUAGUUCAGAGAGUUGUCUACCCUGUUGCAGAAGGGUUAUCGCUGUCGCCAUGGAGAGCCCUUAUCCAAUAAAGUAUCUUUGGGAGCCGCCGUUGCUAUGGGAAUUAUCGGAUCCUAGUGCGGAAUGGGGAGAGGUUUGUUAUUGUUUUUUGAUGGAAAGUGUUUAAGUGCAGGCCUGUGCAAAAGUCUUCAGCAGGAAUUUAAAAAGUCAAAUGCUUUUAGAAAUAAUCAAAUGAAAAGACGAAACCAAAGUUUUUUUAAAGUUGCACUUUUAUACAACUGCACAAAUACAGAAGACAAAAUGUUUUAUAGUUAAGGCAAUAUUCGUAUAAACUAUAUUUGGCGCCUAAGACUUCAGCACAGUACAUUCUCACCAGUCUGCAACCCUUUAGUUCACUCAUCCUCCAGUGCUUGUUUCCCCCCCAAAACAAUCUCCACUUAGGAAGCCGAGUAAAGGAACAUUACCUUAAUGCAACUCUAAACCAUUAUUCAGCCAGAGGUAGACAACACUGAAGGAACUGAUAGUCUCUGACUGUGUGAAUCCUGCAGUGAAACCUAAGCUGUCCCUGUUUGCCAGCCUGAAAGAAGGAUUAAAGGGAAGGGAAGGAAUAUAGAGAAAUACAAUAUCACUAUCCACUGGACUAGUGUAAUGUUCUCACGCAAGGAGUCUGACACCCUCUCUGAGAGGGGGGGAGGAGAGAGGGAGAUAGAGGGGGGAGGAGGAAGAAAGGGAGAUGGAGAGAGAAAGUGGCCUCUUCAAACUAGUCGCUGUGGCAUUUUCUGGAGGGAAGGAGGUUAUGAAAGCUGGGCUCGGGGAGUGAAACUCUAGUUAUGGUCUCUUUCUGUAGUCUGGGCCAUGAGAAAAUAUGAUCUUAACCUGACUUAAGUCAAAGUGUAGAUACAUCUUCGUAUGUGUGGUCUGUGAAAAGCUGUAAACUUCUUAUUGGAAUAUCUGAGAUCCAAGUUUCUGGAUCUCUCAUGGUGUUUGCUGCCCCCUGGUGUAAGUCAUGAGUACUGCAGCUAGGCUAUGUCUCCACCUUGUGGUGCAACACUAAAGGUCUACUGCAGGUCAGAAACAGUUGAGUUGUAUUGUAUAUGGUUUGUAUCGUGUAUGGGUGACUAUCAAUAAUCCUUGUUUUUUGAUAGUGUAUAUAGUGCAUAUAUUAUCAACUUUUUUUGAAUUAGUCUUUAGGAUACUCCUUUCAAUCUGAAAUACUCCACCAAUUGGUAUUUAGGAAUGUUUGGUAUUUUGACACAACAGAUGGCUCCCUGUCACCACGUUCCACUUAAACUCGGACUCUGAAAGCAGAUAUCCCACAGAGAUGGCCUCCAGACUGCUGGCGAGCCAGCUACAGCUCAUUCCCCCUGGGUAGAAGGAAGGGAAAGCAGCUUUCGACAUCGUUUCCAAGCCGGGGAGGACAAAUAUCUCAACCCUGCAGUGAAUCCAGAAACCAAAAUCGGAUCCUUAGGCCUGCUGCUCCAAACACCACCAAGGAUUGCUUUCACCACUCCACACCGACUGGAAAACGCCUGCACAUACACACACACACGCACACCGACGUGUCGGAAAAUGCAAAUGCAGGGAUGCGUCAAGCAGGACCACGGCAGAGGAGCAUGUCCAGCCGAGCUGGGAGGUCUGCGGUGUUGAAGGAGGAGAUACAAGGUGGGAGGAAUGCUAACGUGAUGAUGCCCUCUUUGGACUGCUCCUUCAGACGACGGGAAGCCGCCCCAGAU